UCCCCCCACCAAAAUCAAGCACUACAGCUACCUGCGUGGUUCAGAUUGACGAGAGAGUAGAUAGCAGCGUGCAGGUGCACUCUGUUCACUUCGGCUAGCUCCACCUCCACCACCAUGGCCAACUUCGCCGCCCAGCUCAAGGAUAGGUUUUUCGGCCUCGUCGACCGUGUCGCCGGCUGCGGCCGCGCCGGGGUCAGCGAGGAGACCACCAAGUCGGCGCCGGCGCCGGCCGUGCAGGAGCAUGUCGAGAUUCGACCGAGAGGCCCCGGCGUGUCAGGAGGAUCGGAGGCGGGAGUCAAUUAGACACCGCAAGUGCUACUCGAUCGCCCACAUUCGUGUGGCUUCCCUUGUUCUGAAAGUUGAAACAAAGGCUUUAUUUGCUGGAGAUUUUCAAUGUGUGAAGUGUGCAUGUGCGUGCGUGGUCGCGUGCUGUGUUUUCAAGUGUUCAAGAAGAUUUUUUUUUGUUCAUGCCAUGACAUGACAAAUUGAGUUUGAUAAUUUCAUUGUAACAUUGUUAUUUGAUGAAGCAGUAAUUUGAUCAAAAUUUUA
Molecule: long non-coding RNA, 549 nt
Organism: Triticum aestivum (bread wheat)
Lineage: Eukaryota; Viridiplantae; Streptophyta; Magnoliopsida; Poales; Poaceae
Exons: 2
Source: RefSeq, a predicted model, not a curated record